UCGAUUUGGAGUUUGUUGCCCUGAGUGAUGGGCUCCGAAGCUAACGCGAUAAAUCGACCGCCUGGGGAGUACGGCCGCAAGGUUAAAACUCAAAUGAAUUGACGGGGGCCCGCACAAGCGGUGGAGCAUGUGGUUUAAUUCGAUGCAACGCGAAGAACCUUACCUGGUCUUGACAUCCACAGAAUCUUGCAGAGAUGCGAGAGUGCCUUCGGGAACUGUGAGACAGGUGCUGCAUGGCUGUCGUCAGCUCGUGUUGUGAAAUGUUGGGUUAAGUCCCGCAACGAGCGCAACCCUUAUCCUUUGUUGCCAUCGGUUCGGCCGGGAACUCAAAGGAGACUGCCGUUGAUAAAGCGGAGGAAGGUGGGGACGACGUCAAGUCAUCAUGGCCCUUACGACCAGGGCUACACACGUGCUACAAUGGCGUAUACAAAGGGAGGCGACCUCGCGAGAGCAAGCGGACCUCAUAAAGUACGUCUAAGUCCGGAUUGGAGUCUGCAACUCGACUCCAUGAAGUCGGAAUCGCUAGUAAUCGUGAAUCAGAAUGUCACGGUGAAUACGUUCCCGGGCCU
This 569-nucleotide ribosomal RNA is filed under the name uncultured Gammaproteobacteria bacterium. Its description in RNAcentral is "bacterial SSU rRNA". It matches the Rfam family "Bacterial small subunit ribosomal RNA", at positions 812 to 1381 of the family's 1533-position model. Lineage: Bacteria; Pseudomonadati; Pseudomonadota; Gammaproteobacteria. The record is from RNAcentral.